CCUACGGGAGGCAGCAGUGAGGAAUAUUGGUCAAUGGGCGGAAGCCUGAACCAGCCAAGUAGCGUGCGGGAUGAAGGCCCUACGGGUCGUAAACCGCUUUUGCACGGGGAUAACACCCUCCACUUGUGGAGGUCUGCAGGUACCGUGCGAAUAAGGGCCGGCUAAUUCCGUGCCAGCAGCCGCGGUAAUACGGAAGGCCCGAGCGUUAUCCGGGUUCAUUGGGCUUAAAGGGAGCGUCGGCGGGCGUUCAAGUCAGCUGUAAAAGCGCGCGGCUCAACCGCGCCCCGCAGUUGAAACUGGACGCCUUGAGUUCACAACAGGCAGGCGGAAUUCGUGGUGUAGCGGUGAAAUGCAUAGAUAUCACGAGGAACCCCGAUUGCGAAGGCAGCCUGCCGGGGUGCGACUGACGCUGAGGCUCGAAGGUGCGGGUAUCAAACAGGAUUAGAUACCCUAGUAGUC
RNAcentral lists this ribosomal RNA (459 nucleotides) under uncultured bacterium. RNAcentral describes it as "partial 16S ribosomal RNA". It matches the Rfam family "Bacterial small subunit ribosomal RNA", at positions 338 to 795 of the family's 1533-position model. The record is from RNAcentral.